Molecule: transfer RNA, 67 nt
Filed under: Pronodularia japanensis
Lineage: Eukaryota; Metazoa; Mollusca; Bivalvia; Unionida; Unionidae
Description: tRNA-Gly
Source: RNAcentral
AUACUGAUAGUAUCCCUACUCCUGUACAGCUGCCUUCCAAGCAGAAAGACCUAUGAAGGUCAGUAUA